Microcebus murinus (gray mouse lemur) is the source of this 526-nucleotide non-coding RNA. NCBI's taxonomy places the organism in Eukaryota, Metazoa, Chordata, Mammalia, Primates, Cheirogaleidae. The record is from RefSeq and is a predicted model, not a curated record.
CAGAUGAAUCUGGGGGGCAAGGGGGACACAGUUCGGUCCACAAUGGGUAGAUCAUGCCAGGUCCUAAAUGCAAGAACAAAAGCUGCAAGGCCUCCUAGGACUUAGAUGGGGAAGUCAGGCAGCAUCACACCCACUAUAUUUUAUUAGUCAAAGCAGCCAACCCAGAUUCAAGCGACCAGGGAGAAACAGAUUCCAUCUCUUCGUGGGAGAAGGGGCAGAGCCACAUUUGCAAAAGGGUGUUUAGGAUGGAAGGGAUCGUGUGCCCAUCUUUGGAAGCAAGCAUCACAGAGCUUCAAGGAUGGUUUUUCCUUUGAUCUGAAAGCUUUUCCACAUCUUCCCAAUGAGUUUCUUCUUUGCUUAAGUGACCCAGUGUGGAUUUCUGUUCUAUCCAGUCAACGACCCCUCUCUCUGCUGGGGAUUCUGCAAGAGGUGAAUGAAGACAGGAAACUACCUCGUUAUGGCACUUCGAUGUACGAUGCACUGUUCUUUCUCUGCUGACGAGGAAAUGGAAGGAUGGAGUUUUUCA